This is a long non-coding RNA of Lagopus leucura (white-tailed ptarmigan), 1753 nucleotides long. RefSeq lists it as uncharacterized. Lineage: Eukaryota; Metazoa; Chordata; Aves; Galliformes; Phasianidae. The transcript is spliced from 3 exons. The record is from RefSeq and is a predicted model, not a curated record.
AGCAGCGCUGCGCGGGGGCGGCUGAGAGCAGGCGGUGAGGCCCGGCCGCACUGUGCUGCGCCGCGUCCCGCCCUGUCCCGUUCCACAGCGCUGCGGGAAGCGAUGGGAGCGGCUGCAGUACAGCGCUUUGCUUACUGCAAACGGCGCGUCUUUACGAUGGGCGGCGGCUUGGCAAGACGGGCGUAGAAAGAAAUGGAAGGAGUGAGAGAGGCGUGUGACCCGCUGAAGGGAACUGCAGAGGAGAAUGGCUUUAAGAAAACAGUAGCACUACAGAUGCAGUGUGCAGUUCAGAGAGCACCUCUGUGCAGUGAGAGCAGGGAGCACCUGAAGCAGUACGGCCCAGACACAGAGAGCAGCUCAGAACGAUGAUUGAACCGUGGAAACACAAAGCUGGAGUGGAGCUACAAGGUCAUCCCAUCCAACCGUCCUCCUACCGCCAUUACCACCGCUGAGCUACUCAGCCUUAUCUUGUGGCACCUCGUCCAGAAUGUCAGCGGUCUGUGGGCUGGUUCGGCCCGGUUCCAUGACUGGCGGGUGGGGGGAUCUGUGGAUCCGCACCCUGGAAAAGGGAAAUGGGAAAAAGGAUAAAGAGAUGGGCUCUAAAACAGAACAGAAGCGACAAUCUGAAAGGAAACAAACUAAUUUACUAGAAAAGAUAUCGGAAUGCAAGAUAACACGCUAUAAUAAAACAUAGUACAAGGUAAUUAGAAUUUGAGCUAAAAUUGAGCUAAAAUGCAAAGAGACAGAGUGUCCAAAAGCCAAAGGCCUUACUCUCACGCUGAGGCAGACGGGCAACAGAGGUGAGCCAGACGAUCAAAAGGGCCAUCAGGUGACCUCCCAAGGCCUUCUAUCUUUUCCCUCUGAGCAGAAAUGGUAACAGAACAGUGAACAGCACCCCAUGGCCAAGAGGACCCAGUGUCCGUGUUCACAUAUCCUCAUCUCCGACACCGAAGGGAUUUUGGUGCCUUUGUUUGGGUACAGAAUGUUCACCCGUGGACAAUGGACCCUCUGUCCAUGUCCCUGUAGUGUAGUGACAGAGCUCAGCGGGCUUUGGCAUCAAUGUCCCCCCCUUGGCCAUGAGGGACCCAAUGUCCACGUCGCCAUACCUGUGUCCCCUGUGCCAAGGCAACCUCGGUGUCACCCAUGGAGGACAGAAUGUGUCCAGGUGCCACGGCCCCAUGUCAUUGUUGCCAGGAGCCAAGGAGACCUCAGUACCACUUUCUUUGGGGUACGGUAGGGACGCCCGGUGCAUCCUCAUCCCCAUGACAAAAGGACCCCGGUGUCCUGGUCCAGGUCUUCCUGUCCUCAGUGCUGAGGGGACCUCAGUGUCACCUUUGGGGUACCAGAACGGUCCCCCACAUCCAUGUCCCCAAUGCCAAAGGGACACCACUGUCACCUCUGGGGUCCAAGUGUCCAUCUCCGUGUCUUUGUAGCACAGAAGGGUCCCUGACAUCCCCAGUGCUGAGAGGACCUCACUGUCACCAUGGGACUACAGAACGGGGUGAAGUGUUCACCUCCCCGCUGUGUUAUCCCAGUGGUAAAGGGACGUCCGUGUCACUUUUAGGGUACAGAAGGGACCCCAUGCGUGUGUGCGCCAUGUCCAUGAUCCUGUGCCCAAGAGGAUCCCAUGUCCAUGUCCCCAUGUCGUCAUCCCCAAUGCAAAAGGGAUUUUGGUGCCCUUUUUUGGAUACAGAAGGGACCCCUGUGCCCACGUCACUGCAGCCAAGGGCUCCUCCAGCAUCGGGAAGAUGGU